GCCUAUUUUAUGAAAAAAAGUCACACGAAUACAUUUUGCUUUCCUUUCGAAUCAUCAAAAUUUCAUCACGUCCUCAGUGAAGAUAAUUUAUUGUUUGUCAUCGACAGUGCUUUUCUCUCUCAAGAGGGAUUGCCUUUUCGUGUACAUUUUCACUUUCAAUGAUCAACUUGACACAAUUAUAAACACACAAGUGGUGAGACUAUCAAACCGCCACUUAACUACAAUUUUAAUAAUUAUUACUCCAAUGAAGGAAUUAUUUACGAUGUUGUUUGUAAUUAAAAUAGUUUUGAAACUUGGGGUCUAUUAAUUAAAUAAACAAAGAAAGUGAAAAUUUAUUACAUCAAUUCCAAUUGGAAAUGAAAUCUCUGUGCGUUCAUGGUUCACGUACAGAGUUAAUUAAGAUAAAACGAAAUAUGUGGGCAAUUAGCACUAUUGUGUUUUUUUAGUCUCGAAUGUCGCUCUUCGUGUUUAUCAUUCACUUUCAUCCACUAAUUUGUUCCAGCUCCAAUAUUGAUCGCUCUCGCUCUUUGUCCACUUUUUCAAAUAAAUUCCAUUUUGUGUUGAAUCAAGAAUAAGUCGGGUUUUGUUGUCAAGGCUUCAAUAAACGUGAUGAAAUGAUGAAAAGCGGUGCAUUGUCUCACUGUGUCACUACCAUCAGAUAUAGUUUAUGUGUUAUUGUUUGUACAGCCCACUCUCGUAAGGGAAGAGCUAUUAAUAGUGUGGCAAAUGGGGUCACUGGGUCAAUCAAUGCUCUCGGCGUCCCGGCGCCUGCAAUGGGCGCGUCCGACGCCAAUUGGGCCACCUAUUGAUCCCAACAGCCCCACGUGCGACCAAGUUCUUAGUAGAACACCGCACCAACAACACUCUGCGCUCCUGAAUCUGCACUCUGCAGGUUUAAUGCGAUAUCCCGUACAGAUACUGCGGAGCCGCUGUGAUCAAUGCUGUUUACCUAAUCUUUAUUCGCGUUUUAUCUCCGCAGAGUCGAACGCUUAGCGAGGGAGCCAAUGCCCAGGCCCCAGAGACUGAAAAUAGCUGACAUUUCCCCUAAAGUUGAAAAAAUAUCAGAUGCUGCGUGAGGGCGAGAGAAAUGGAAAUGUCACUUGAGGAUGAACAAUAAGAGGUUCAUAACGUUUUUGUUUGUUAUUAGAUGGUAAAGGAGCCGGCAUUUAUGACACGAGUACAAAUGGCUUUUUAAAAAAACGUGGAGAAAAUUUCGCAAGGGUGUGAGCGUGGGAAAGAUUUUUAUAGACGCUGGAAUAUCUCAAUUUUAUGGCGUGGAUGAUACAGUGGAAUAGAAAGGGAGAAGAAAAUUGGAAAAUGGUGAAAGAGAAAGUAACGGUUCCUUUGUUUGCUCGCGCGCUGAGUCGCAGGUGCAGCGGAAUAUAAAUAUUUUUAUUUGUUCAUUUAACCCUUGCUGGGACGCAAGGGUGGUUGUUACGAAUUCAGGGGCGCUGGCUGAUUGUAGAUAAACUAUUGAUUUGAAUAAAUAAAUAAAUAAAUA
Long non-coding RNA from Tribolium castaneum (red flour beetle), 1501 nucleotides. RefSeq lists it as uncharacterized. The transcript has 2 exons. NCBI's taxonomy places the organism in Eukaryota, Metazoa, Arthropoda, Insecta, Coleoptera, Tenebrionidae. The record is from RefSeq and is a predicted model, not a curated record.